This is a non-coding RNA of Coturnix japonica (Japanese quail), 1525 nucleotides long. The record is from RefSeq and is a predicted model, not a curated record. NCBI's taxonomy places the organism in Eukaryota, Metazoa, Chordata, Aves, Galliformes, Phasianidae.
UUGGACUUCAUAGAAGAAGUGGGGUUGAGUGGAAUAUUUUCUAACACCGUGUCUCCAAAGUGAUCUUGAAGAACUCUGCAGUUGUUCAGUGCCUUCUGUUUGGGAAGUCAGAUGCCACAUAUGAGUGUCCAGAGGCUGCAUCAGUGAAAAAGAAAGAAUUUAUCAUACUUAAAGGCUGAUCAUGCAGCAGAAUUACUUCGGACAGGAAAUGGAGUUAUAAUCUGAAGUUCUUGGAGAUCUGGGACUUGUUCGCUUCACCCAUGCCAAGGUAUAUGACUCUACCUGGGCAGCCCUCACGUCUGCUAGGGCUCAAGCUGAGAUUCUGGCUUCAUGGACUAGCAUCUCAUGGCAAGAAAAGCAGAAAAUUUUCUGUUUUCUAGGUACUCUUACAGAAUGCUAUUUGCCCUCAAAUCUGAGUAAUCUAUGCUUUUUCAAACAGUAUUAGGUGCCAAUCUUUCAAUAUCAAAGCCCACCUGAAAGCACCCACCACACCCCAGAACAUCAUGAUGGGUUAGGUAUGCAGCUCAUAUAAUCUGAUACUGACCUUAAUAAUAAUCUUGCUAAAGCAAGAUAGCUGUUGAUAGCUGUUUCAGAUGCCCUGGAGUGUCAGCAGUCCAAGUGAUGCUGUUGAGAUUGCAAGGCAUUUCUGGAAGAACAAUGAUCUUCUGAGCUGAUUGUGUCAGGCUGAGUGGGGGCACCCUGUAUGCAGCACUUAUGCACUGAAGAUAUUGUAAGUCAGGAGACGUUAGUCUCACCCACACAAAAUCUUGUAAUAGAACAAUUAAGUUAAUGCAUCAUGUUUUUAAAAUUAUUGUUGACAGAAAUAUUCUGAGGAAACCAUCUGUAUUUCAAGCUGAAAUGAUAUUAUUUCUUGAUACUGAGUAAGGCGCUUAAUAGAAUAGGUUUAUUUUCCUUGUACUUUUAAUUCUUGUGAACAUUUGUUUGCAUAUUCUGCAAGAGUGGAACCUGGGACUCUGGCUAAGGGCCAGAAGCUCUCAAGUAGAAUGUUAAAAAUUAGUUCCACUGAUUCAUCUGGAGGAAAAUAUCUGUCUACAUAAGUGAAAGGACCAAAGGGCCUAAAUUCUGUAGCUUUAUACAGAAUUUUUACCUGUCUUCAGCUUUCAGGCACCCCUGUCUACACAACUGCAUUCUCUUCCCCUCUUGCCCUUUUGUCCAAACAUGUGGUGGUGUAAUUCUGUGUAAUUCCAUUGAUGUAACUUUGCUGACUUACCUUGGCUGAGAGUUUCCCUCAGCCUGGGCAGUUUAAUCACAUUUCUAUGAUUAUUAUUGAAUUAGAGCUUUCAACAAACUUUUCAAUAUCAUAAUUUGUAAAUACUGAAAAGCAACAAUUUAAUUCCUGAAUAAAAAUAUUCAGCAAUUUUUCUUUCCAGUUUAAACACUGGCCCUUAAGUAUCCCAUUGACAAGAAUCUGUUGCAAGUGUUUUCAUUGUUUUCUAUUUGCUCUGUGGUGAGCUAAGUGUUUCUGAAUUUCCUGGGCGGAUUCUUCAGACUGUGACAUGCUGAA